CCUACGGGAGACAGCAGUUGGGAAUAUUGGGCAAUGGAGGCAACUCUGACCCAGCAACGCCGCGUGAAUGAUGAGGGUCUUCGGAUUGUAAAGUUCUGUUAUGGGGGAUGAACACAAUGACGGUACCCCAAUAUCAAGCCACGGCUAACUACGUGCCAGCAGCCGCGGUAAUACGUAGGUGGCAAGCGUUAUCCGGAAUGACUGGGCGUAAAGGGUGCGUAGGUGGUUUAGUAAGUUGGCGGUGUAAUUCCGGGGCGCAACCUCGGCGCUACCGCCAAAACUAUUAGACUAGAGUGCAGGAGGGGUAAGUGGAAUUCCUAGUGUAGCGGUGAAAUGCAUAGAUAUCACGCAGAACUCCGAUUGCGAAGGCAGCAUACCGGCGCUCAACUGACGCUGAGGCACGAAAGCGUGGGGAUCGAACAGGAUUAGAUACCCUUGUAGUC
This 443-nucleotide ribosomal RNA is filed under the name uncultured bacterium. RNAcentral's name for it is "partial 16S ribosomal RNA". It matches the Rfam family "Bacterial small subunit ribosomal RNA", at positions 338 to 795 of the family's 1533-position model. The record is from RNAcentral.